Molecule: non-coding RNA, 46 nt
Filed under: Schistosoma curassoni
Lineage: Eukaryota; Metazoa; Platyhelminthes; Trematoda; Strigeidida; Schistosomatidae
Source: RNAcentral
ACACUGCUGAGGAGUCCCACCGAAGGACGAAACGGCCGUCCAGUGU